This 410-nucleotide long non-coding RNA is filed under the name Callithrix jacchus (white-tufted-ear marmoset). RNAcentral describes it as "lncRNA (ENSCJAG00000074246.1)". The record is from RNAcentral. Lineage: Eukaryota; Metazoa; Chordata; Mammalia; Primates; Cebidae.
CACAUGUGCUGCAGCACUUGAAAUUAUCAGAUUUUAAAUUUUGCAGUCCAAAUCCGCCUGCAGUUCAAUGAGUUCCAGGUUCUUGUCCUGUGACCAAGAGGAAUAAGGUGCAUGGACAUUGGAGAAUGAGCAAGGCAGAGAAGAAUUUUAUUGAGUGACAGAAGGAAAGCUCUCAACUGUGAGAAGAGACCCUGAAAACGCGUUGCCAUCUGUGAGGCUGAGUCUGGGCUUGUUUCGGCUCACAACGGGAGAAUGUGUGCUGAUUGGUCCAUGGGUAGUCUUUGGAAAAAUCACCAUCCAAUUGGUUAAAAAGCAUUAUCCUGAAGGAACCAAUCGAGAGACAGAAGAUCCUUCCUCUGCCUGUUGCGUUCAUUUCUUCUCUCCUUCCAGGUCUGAUAAAUUGACCCCAG